This 352-nucleotide ribosomal RNA is filed under the name Eustegasta aff. carabidina MNHN BL125. RNAcentral's name for it is "partial 12S ribosomal RNA". Lineage: Eukaryota; Metazoa; Arthropoda; Insecta; Blattodea; Blaberidae. The record is from RNAcentral.
UUUUGAUUUAAAUAUGUUGACUUGAGUAGUAUUAGUUAUGAUCUUGAAACUUAAAGAAUUUGGCGGUAUUAUAGUCUUUUUAGAGGAAUCUGUCCCAUUAUCGAUAAUCCACGUUGGACCUUACUUAAUAAAUUUUUAUAUGUAUAUCGCCGUUUAUUGAAUAUCUUUUUAGGGUUUAAUGUUCAAAAUUUUUUAUUAAAAAGUAUUUCAGGUCAAGGUGCAGUUGAUAAUUAAGUGGUGAUGGAUUACAAUUUUUAAUAAAAAUGAAUAAUUGGUUGAAAUUCUUAUUUGAAGGUGGAUUUAAUAGUAAAAUUUUAUAGAUUGAAAAUUUGAUUUUAGCUCUAUAAUGUGU